The sequence is a ribosomal RNA, 501 nucleotides long. It matches the Rfam family "Bacterial large subunit ribosomal RNA", at positions 1821 to 2600 of the family's 2925-position model.
UGUAGCGCCCCCCCAUUACAGGUACACCCUGCCCAGUGUUAUUAUCAACGGCCGCGGUACCCUGACCGUGCAAAGGUAGCAUAAUAAUUUGCCUCUUAAUUGGAGGCUAGUAUGAAAGGGCAAACGAGAAUAAGACUGUCUCACUCAUACCCAUAAAAAUCUAUCUUCAGGUGAAGAAGCCUGAAUUAAUAUAAAAGACAAGAAGACCCUGUCGAGCUUUAGCAUACUAUAUGAGCCUUACGCCCAUCCACACCUUCCCUCAUAUCCAGGCUUUUGUUGGGGCGACAACGGAACCUAUCAAUCUUCCGUUAAAAUACAGACCUUACGUCACCCAAAUGAUCCUUUACUGAUCACAAGAUCUAGCUACCGCAGGGAUAACAGACUAAUCUUCCUCCGGAGCCCAAAUCUACAGGAAGGCUUGGCACCUCGAUGUUGGCUUAGGAAAAUCCCCUAGAUGAAGCAGUCUAGGAAGUGGGUUUGUUCAACCCUUAAUAUCCUACA